This 6375-nucleotide long non-coding RNA is filed under the name Solanum lycopersicum (tomato). RNAcentral describes it as "long non-coding RNA (SLYC_LNC000474)". Lineage: Eukaryota; Viridiplantae; Streptophyta; Magnoliopsida; Solanales; Solanaceae. The record is from RNAcentral.
UACAAUUUUCCCCCUUUUUAUUGUUUUUGGCUGAUUGACAAGAUCUAGCUAUGUAAAAUCCCGAUCUUUCAUUUUAUAUGGUUUUUUGUACAUCCUGAUCACUUUUUGGUACAAGUAAAAAAUUUCACCUUUUGUAUAGGUAGUAAUGAGUUGUUUUUAUGUUGUUCAGUGCAAAUGUAAUGCUUUUCUUGUUAAUUCAGAAGUUUCAAAUUUUACGAAUUUGUCUCAGUUUCAAUUAAACUUAGUGGAGCAAAUCUAGAAUUAAUUAUCAAAACAAACAAUUAUCUGCACCUAUUGAUACUUGGUAUUUUUUAGAAGCCACCAUGAAAAACAGAUAUCUAAGAUCUUGUAUUAAAUACAUUCUCUUUUGUUUCAAUUUGUAAUUCGUUAACUGAAACUCAGAAGAAAGAAUUAUGAAAGAAUAUAAUGCUUAAUCAUCCCAGCACACUUUGAACACUCUUUAUUGCGUUAUAUUUAUAAUUAAAAUUAGGCAUGCUUUCUAUAGAGCAAUGUAAGGUUACCUCCUGUUUUCUUAUCGAUUCCAAUUUUUAAUCCUUCAUUACACUUCUUCAUGUGUUGUGUGGUUAGAUACGGAAGAGAAAUAGCAGAAGAAACAAAUCCAAGAAGUUAUCCAGUUCUGAGGAUGACUCGUGAUCUUCUGCUUCCUCUGAUUAUUCUAGCUGUCCACAGUCUUUGUCCUCCGAUUCAGAGGUUGAUUAUAGUAGGAAAAGACGUAGGUACUCACGUAAUAUAGAACACGUGUAGAAAAGAACUCAAAGAUGAUUUUCAAGCCAAGAUGUAAGUGACGGUUCACCCCCUUUAAAAAAAAGAGAAAGGUCAAAUAGAAAGAUUCUUGAUUAUGGGACAAAAGUGCUGAAGAAGAAGCGAAAGAGACACGCUAGUAUUAGCUCCACAAACAGUGACUCAUGAAGUUGUUCUAGGAAAAUAGUAUUAGCUCCAAAGGUAGAGAUUUUGAGAGCUUCUCCACUUGCCUAGAUACAACUAAUAGUGGUAAAUAGGAAGCGAUAACGAAAUUGAGUUUGAAUAGUAGACAUUUGCAUAUAAUCCUUAAGGUUCCUAAUAUUUUUAGUUUUAACAAAUUAAUCUUGUCUUAAAAUACCUGACGUCUGAAGAAUUUUUUUAAUUAUAUCUAAGUUUUAAAUUUUCUAAUUUAAUUAGUAUAGAAUUAUUACUGUUUAAAGAGAAAUAAAUAAAAAGUAAUAUAAACUAGUAUACUCGUGAUUAAAAAUAUUGCUAUAAAUACUUUUGCAAAGCAUUGUCCAAAUAAAAUAGGCAUAAUAUAUAAAUAUAUCUUUUAAUUUGUCUUCCAUACUAAGACGAAUGGAUCUAUUUGUUUAAUUUAUACAAGCUUAAGUGUCUAUUUAUACAUAAUUAAAAGUGAAGGGCAUAAAUAUUUGCUUAACCUUCAUUUAAAACACGUUUAUGUAUUAUGCAAUAAAAUACUGAUAGCUCUUUUUUAUACAUUUAAACAGCUCUAAAAGAUAGGAUUAGGUGGUUUGAAGUUAAUAAAACAAAAUCUGCGUCGCAUGUAAUAAUAAGCCGGUUUUCUACUUUGUUUUUUUAUGGUAUUUGACACUCCCUUCUGUGGGCUUAAUACCAAAUCCUUAAAACCCCUGAUAAUCCUUGGUGUUUUCAUCCUUUCUUUAAGACUUCUGUGGGCUUGAUUACCAAAUCCUUAAAACUCCUCAUAAGCCUUGUGUUCUCAUCCCUUCUUUAAGAAGGGUUUCAUUUUGGGGAACUUGAGGCUGAGUGAAGUGAAAAUGGGGCGAUUAUUUUUUCAGGAUCUUGAAGGCAAAACCUUCAAUUGCAAAUUCUGCAAAACCAAACUUGCCCGUGCUGAUCAACUUAUUACCAAGGUACAAUUUUUCCCCUUUUAUUUUUUAUUUUUUCUUGAAUGACUAGAUCUAGCUAUGUAAAAUCCCGAUCUUUCAUUUGACAUGGCUAAAUAUCCUACAAGUGAAAAUCUCACCUUUUUUAUAGGUAGUAAAUAAGUAAUUUUUAUGUAGUUUAGUGCAAAUGUUAUGCUUUUCUUGUUAAUUCAGUAGUGUCAAAUUUACGAUUUCGUCAUUUCUCAUCAUGAAUUUGAAUUUGACCAUUAGGAAAAUGGUUAAUUGAGUUACGGAUGGAAGAGAGUGCAUAUUUUAUUUGUCUCUAAAAAAUGUUGCUGAUUAGAUCCAGAAAUGAGUGACUAUUUCAUGAGAGAUAGCAGCGACGUGUGAAGAUGUUUGGAAGCUCUCAAGCUUGUUGGAUCAUGUCGAUUUUAUGUAUAUUUAGAGAUGUUUGAACAAAAUAGUUCAUAGUUUAGCUAGAUUUUCUAUUUCUUUAUUGAAGGAGAUCUCUUGGGAGAGGUUUUUCCCCAUGUUAGAUCGUGCAUGAUGCUAAGGGUACAUUGAAUUUCGUAGUUUUUGAUGCAAAUGUACAAAGUGUUAAGUUUCGUUGAAAAAGUUCAUGAAUCUGACAAGCUUAAUGUUGUUUGCCAAGCAUACAUUAGCCCUCCUCUUUUGUUUAAGCGUGAAACUCAUUAAACACGUUCUUUUAGAUAAGAACUCAAUUGUAGAUUCUUCUUUGCUGCCUGUGCUAAAAGCAAAGUUGCAUUUGGGAUCUGGAGGUUUUGCGAUGCAACUAUUCUUUGAACAUAGACAUCUUGCUAUUUAAAAAGGGAAGGUUGUCUUCUCUUUUAUAUGUUAAUAAAACAAAAUCUGCGCCACAUAUAAAAAUAAGCCGGUUUUCUACUUUGUUUUUAUGGAAUUUAACAUUCACUUCUGUGGGCUUAACUCUCCAAAUCCUUAAAACCCCUCUAAGCCUUGUACUUUUCAUCCAUUCUAUAAGAAGGGUUUCGAUUUGGGGAGAUUGAGGCUGUGUGAAGUGAAAAAUGGGGAGAUUAUUUUUGGUGCAUCCUUAUGGCAAAACUUACAAGUGCAAAUUCUGCGAUGCCAAACUUGGUCACGUUGGUUCACUUGUUUCAAAGGUACAAUUUUUCCCCUUUUUAUUAUUUUUGGUUGAUUGACAAGAUCUAGCUAUGUAAAAUCCCGAUCUUUCAUUUUAUAUGGUUUUUUGUACAUCCUGAUCUUUCAUUUGACAUGGUUUUUGGUACAUCCUGAUCACUUUUUGGUACAAGUAAAAAAUUUCACCUUUUGUAUAGGUAGUAAUGAGUUGUUUUUAUGUUGUUCAGUGCAAAUGUAAUGCUUUUCUUGUUAAUUCAGAAGUUUCAAAUUUUACGAAUUUGUCUCAGUUUCAAUUAAACUUAGUGGAGCAAAUCUAGAAUUAAUUAUCAAAACAAACAAUUAUCUGCACCUGUUAAUACUUGGUAUUUAGAAGCCACCAUGAACAACAGAUAUCUAAGAUCUUGUAUUAAAUACAUUCUCUUUUGUUUCAAUUUGUAAUUCGUUAACUGACACUCAGAAGAAAGAAUUAUGAAAGACUAUAUAAUGCUUAAUCAUCCCAGCACACUUUGAACACUCUUUAUUGCGUUAUAUUUAUAAUUAAAAUUAGGCAUGCUUUCUAUAGAACAAUGUAAGGUUACCUCCUGUUUUCUUAUCGAUUCCAAUUUAUUAUCCUUCAUUACACAUCUUCAUGUGUUGUGUGGUUAGAUACGGAAGAGAAAUAGCAGAAGAAACAAAUCCAAGAAGUUAUCCAGUUCUGAGGAUGACUCGUGAUCUUCUGCUUCCUCUGAUUAUUCUAGCUGUCCACAGUCUUUGUCCUCUGAUUCAGAGGUUGAUUAUAGUAGGAAAAGACGUAGGUACUCACGUAAUAUAAAACACGUGUAGAAAAGAACUCAAAGAAGAUUUUCAAGCCAAGAUGUAAGUGACGGUUCACCCCCUUUAAAGAAAAGAGAAAGGUUAAAUAGAAAGAUUCUUGAUUAUGGGACAAAAGUGCAGAAGAAGAAGCGAACGAGACACGCUAGUAUUAGCUCCACAAACAGUGACUCGUGAAGUUGUUCUAGGAAAAUAGUAUUAGCUCCAAAGGUAGAGAUUUUGAGAGCUUCUCCACUUGCCUAGAUACAACUAAUAGUGGUAAAUAGGAAGCGAUAACGAAAUUGAGUUUGAAUAGUAGACAUUUGCAUAUAAUCCUUAAGGUUCCUAAUAUUUUUAGUUUUAACAAAUUAAUCUUGUCUUAAAAUACCUGACGUCUGAAGAAUUUUUUUAAUUAUAUCUAAGUUUUAAAUUUUCUAAUUUAAUUAGUAUAGAAUUAUUACUGUUUAAAGAGAAAUAAAUAAAAAGUAAUAUAAACUAGUAUACUCGUGAUUAAAAAUAUUGCUAUAAAUACUUUUGCAAAGCAUUGUCCAAAUAAAAUAGGCAUAAUAUAUAAAUAUAUCUUUUAAUUUGUCUUCCAUACUAAGACGAAUGGAUCUAUUUGUUUAAUUUAUACAAGCUUAAGUGUCUAUUUAUACAUAAUUAAAAGCGAAGGGCAUAAAUAUUUGCUUAACCUUCAUUUAAAACACGUUUAUGUAUUACGCAAUAAAAUACUGAUAGAUCUUUUUUAUACAUUUGAACAACACUAAAAGAUAAGAUUAGGUGGCUUUGAAGUUAGUAAAACAAAAUCUGCGCCACAUGUAAAAAUAAGCCGGUUUCUACUUUGUUUUUAUGGAAUUUAACACUCACUUCUGUGGGCUUAACUCUAAAUCCUUAAAACCCCUCUAAGCCUUGUACUUUUCAUCCAUUCUAUAAGAAGGGUUUCGAUUUGGGGAAAUUGAGGCUGUGUGAAGUGAAAAAUGGGGAGAUUAUUUUUGGUGCAUCCUGAUGGCAAAACUUACAAUUGCAAAUUCUGCGAUGCCAAACUUGGUCACGUUGGUUCACUUGUUUCAAAGGUACAAUUUUUCCCCUUUUUAUUAUUUUUGGUUGAUUGACUAGAUCUAGCUGUGUAAAAUCCCGAUCUUUCAUUUUAUAUGGUUUUUUGUACAUCCUGAUCUUUCAUUUGACAUGGUUUUUGGUACAUCCUGAUCACUUUUUGGUACAAGUAAAAAAUUUCACCUUUUGUAUAGGUAGUAAUGAGUUGUUUUUAUGUUGUUCAGUGCAAAUGUAAUGCUUUUCUUGUUAAUUCAGAAGUUUCAAAUUUUACGAAUUUGUCUCAGUUUCAAUUAAACUUAGUGGAGCAAAUCUAGAAUUAAUUAUCAAAACAAACAAUUAUCUGCACCUGUUAAUACUUGGUAUUUAGAAGCCACCAUGAACAACAGAUAUCUAAGAUCUUGUAUUAAAUACAUUCUCUUUUGUUUCAAUUUGUAAUUCGUUAACUGACACUCAGAAGAAAGAAUUAUGAAAGACUAUAUAAUGCUUAAUCAUCCCAGCACACUUUGAACACUCUUUAUUGCGUUAUAUUUAUAAUUAAAAUUAGGCAUGCUUUCUAUAGAACAAUGUAAGGUUACCUCCUGUUUUCUUAUCGAUUCCAAUUUAUUAUCCUUCAUUACACAUCUUCAUGUGUUGUGUGGUUAGAUACGGAAGAGAAAUAGCAGAAGAAACAAAUCCAAGAAGUUAUCCAGUUCUGAGGAUGACUCGUGAUCUUCUGCUUCCUCUGAUUAUUCUAGCUGUCCACAGUCUUUGUCCUCUGAUUCAGAGGUUGAUUAUAGUAGGAAAAGACGUAGGUACUCACGUAAUAUAAAACACGUGUAGAAAAGAACUCAAAGAAGAUUUUCAAGCCAAGAUGUAAGUGACGGUUCACCCCCUUUAAAGAAAAGAGAAAGGUUAAAUAGAAAGAUUCUUGAUUAUGGGACAAAAGUGCAGAAGAAGAAGCGAACGAGACACGCUAGUAUUAGCUCCACAAACAGUGACUCGUGAAGUUGUUCUAGGAAAAUAGUAUUAGCUCCAAAGGUAGAGAUUUUGAGAGCUUCUCCACUUGCCUAGAUACAACUAAUAGUGGUAAAUAGGAAGCGAUAACGAAAUUGAGUUUGAAUAGUAGACAUUUGCAUAUAAUCCUUAAGGUUCCUAAUAUUUUUAGUUUUAACAAAUUAAUCUUGUCUUAAAAUACCUGACGUCUGAAGAAUUUUUUUAAUUAUAUCUAAGUUUUAAAUUUUCUAAUUUAAUUAGUAUAGAAUUAUUACUGUUUAAAGAGAAAUAAAUAAAAAGUAAUAUAAACUAGUAUACUCGUGAUUAAAAAUAUUGCUAUAAAUAUUUUUGCAAAGCAUUGUCCAAAUAAAAUAGGCAUAAUAUAUAAAUAUAUCUUUUAAUUUGUCUUCCAUACUAAGACGAAUGGAUCUAUUUGUUUAAUUUAUACAAGCUUAAGUGUCUAUUUAUACAUAAUUAAAAGUGAAGGGCAUAAAUAUUUUCUUAAGCUACAUUAAAAACACAUUUAUGUAUCAUCCCUUCUUUAAGAAGGGUUUCAUUUUGGGGAAAUUGAGGCCGAGUGAAGUGAAAAUGGGGC